GUAGGGAAUAUUGGGCAAUGGUCGGAAGACUGACCCAGCCAUGCCGCGUGCAGGAAGACGGCCCUCUGGGUUGUAAACUGCUUUUAUCUGGGAAGAAAAAGGCCAUGCGUGGCAAAUUGCCGGUACCAGAUGAGUAAGCACCGGCUAACUCCGUGCCAGCAGCCGCGGUAAUACGGAGGGUGCGAGCGUUGUCCGGAUUUAUUGGGUUUAAAGGGUGCGUAGGCGGCUGAUUAAGUCAGCGGUGAAAGACUUCGGCUUAACCGGAGCAGUGCCGUUGAUACUGGUUGGCUUGAGUGUCGGAGGGGUACAUGGAAUUGAUGGUGUAGCGGUGAAAUGCAUAGAUACCAUCAGGAACACCGAUAGCGAAGGCAUUGUACUGGCCGACAACUGACGCUGAUGCACGAAAGUGUGGGGAUCGAACAGGAUUAGAAACCCGGGUAGUCC
This 444-nucleotide ribosomal RNA is filed under the name uncultured bacterium. RNAcentral describes it as "partial 16S ribosomal RNA". It matches the Rfam family "Bacterial small subunit ribosomal RNA", at positions 354 to 796 of the family's 1533-position model. The record is from RNAcentral.